UUGGAGGGCAAGUCUGGUGCCAGCAGCCGCGGUAAUUCCGGCUCCAAUAGCGUAUAUUAAAGUUGCUGCAGUUAAAAAGCUCGUAGUUGAAUUUCGGGACCAAUAUGUCGGUCGUGCCUCGGUACGUACUGGCAUCGUUGGUUUCUCCCUUCUGAAGAACCAUGAUGUCAUUCAUUUGGUGUCGUGGGGAAUCAGGACUGUUACUUUGAAAAAAUUAGAGUGUUUAAAGCAGGCUCACGCUUGAAUACAUUAGCAUGGAAUAAUGAAAUAGGACGUUUGAUUCUAUUUUGUUGGUUUCUAGAAUCGACGUAAUGAUUAAUAGGGAUAGUUGGGGGCAUUAGUAUUCAAUUGUCAGAGGUGAAAUUCUUGGAUUUAUUGAAGACUAACUACUGCGAAAGCAUUUGCCAAGGAUGUUUUUAUUAAUCAAGAACGAAAGUUAGGGGAUCGAAGACGAUCAGAUACCGUCGUAGUCUUAACCAUAAACUAUGCCGACUAGGGAUCGGAUGAUGUUAAUUUUUUAAUGACUCAUUCGGCACCUUACGGGAAAC
This 548-nucleotide ribosomal RNA is filed under the name uncultured Glomus. Its description in RNAcentral is "SSU rRNA". It matches the Rfam family "Eukaryotic small subunit ribosomal RNA", at positions 548 to 1098 of the family's 1831-position model. The record is from RNAcentral. Lineage: Eukaryota; Fungi; Glomeromycota; Glomeromycetes; Glomerales; Glomeraceae.